This is a long non-coding RNA of Oreochromis niloticus (Nile tilapia), 688 nucleotides long. RefSeq lists it as uncharacterized. The transcript is spliced from 2 exons. The record is from RefSeq and is a predicted model, not a curated record. Lineage: Eukaryota; Metazoa; Chordata; Actinopteri; Cichliformes; Cichlidae.
GGAGGUCCUGCGCUUCAUUUCCCCGUUGCAAUGGUGAUAUGACCAAUCUGUUGCCAUGUCGUCAGACCUGCAGCUAAAUCCUUUGUACACCUGAGUGAAGAGGAGCAGAGCUGUCAACUUAUCACCGCCUGGUGGAGAGUUUGAUCUGUCUUUGAACUCCGACUGACAGAAAAAUUCUCCUACAUGCUUGGGGACAUGAAGCCGAGAGAGCCAUAACUAAACAUAAUCUGUGAUCAGGGUGUCCCAGGGCAAUGUUUUGAAGGACACUGUAAGAGUGUUUGUGUCCACCUGACGUAGCACCAAGUAUUUCAACAAGGCUUUGCAUGUUAAAAGAAUAUUAAACUGAGUCAGUCACUAGAGGCUUUUGGCACAAAAAGCAAACAUGCAGCAUGAGGAAUUUGACUGUUUUGGCUCAAAUACAGUAGUACUUAAUCUAUUCAACUAUGUACAUGUUUUAUAUUUUCUAAAGAAAAACCGGGCAUUAAAUAGUGAUUAGAUGGUAAGGAAACCUCUAGAUCUUGAUGUCCUGGCUGUGGAGCAAAAACAAAGAACACUCUAAUGUUGCAGAUGUGUUGCACAUGGGCUCUUUUCAACGAAAAGGCUAAUACACUGAUAACAGCUCAGCCCCAUAGUAUUCACUGUCCCAGUGUGCCAUGACAAACUGACAGAGUCUCCAACACAAACAAAA